This 216-nucleotide unclassified non-coding RNA is filed under the name Hevea brasiliensis (rubber tree). The record is from RNAcentral. Lineage: Eukaryota; Viridiplantae; Streptophyta; Magnoliopsida; Malpighiales; Euphorbiaceae.
GAACAAAAAAACAAAAAUCUGGGUCAAGAAAACAACGGAUUUCUUCGAUAUUUCAAACCCAAAAAGCCAGUACCCAUCAAUCGUAUCACAAGAAAGCACAAAAGGGUAUUCCCAAAACGAUACAAUACGUGAAACGCAGCAUCGAUUGGAGAAGAAAAAUGGCCAAAGGGGGGUUUCUUUCUCGAAGGAGCUUCAAUUGAAAAUGGGUUAUUUCAG